This 519-nucleotide long non-coding RNA is filed under the name Chinchilla lanigera (long-tailed chinchilla). Its description in RNAcentral is "lncRNA (ENSCLAG00000028193.1)". Lineage: Eukaryota; Metazoa; Chordata; Mammalia; Rodentia; Chinchillidae. The record is from RNAcentral.
GUUAAAGGAAGCCUUAACGUGGUUCUGGAAGGCUUUGGUUUCACAGACGUGUUUGAAGGGCAUCCUGGAGAUCCUUUGUGUGCCUACACUUUGAGGACCUCCUUGUUCAGCCGUCAAAGGCUCUAUGACACACAAGCUUCACGGAUUGAGUUUAUGAGUAAAUUAACCUCGCUCCUCCCUGAGGACAGCCCUGGAAAAGUGCAGGGGCUCCUGUCAGUCUGGAGUCAAGCAGGACAGGCUCAACUGGUCUAACAGCUGCAGAUUUGGGAGACAGCUGUGCUGAUGUUUGGGGUUCAGAUUUAAAGUGAACAGACAGGAUUUGCAGCCUUCCUCGGCGAAACCCUGCACACUGUGAGGUAAGGUGAGCAUGUUUUUGUUGGGAAAGGUCGUUUUAAAUACAAUCGUUUAUUUCCUGUAGUGCUUUCCCUCCUUAAGACACACAGGCACACGCGCACACACACACACACACACACUCAAUGCAAGCUUUUACACUUUGUUUAUAAAACACUUGCUGUUAUG